UGCUAUUGCUCCAAAGCAUUUUGUGCAAAGAGUGAAAAAACAAAAUGAGCUUUUCCGCAGUUACAUGCACCAGGAUGCUCAUGAAAUUUUGAAUUUUCUGCUUAAUGAGCUUGUUGACAUCCUGGAGAAAGAGCACAAUUCUUCAAAAGACUCUCCAGAAGCUUCAUCACCACUGAAAAGACUGCAAAUGGGCCACAGGUUGCUCAAACCAAUGGCGGUAGAAAAAAGAGCCAUUGUUCACCUGGGUACACAAAAAUUUUCAGGGGAUACUAACCAAUGAAACACGAUGCUUACGGUGUGAAACUGAGACAGUAAGGGAUGAAACUUUUCUAGACUUAAGCCUUGAUAUCGAACAAAACAGCUCAAUCACUAGCUGCCUCAAAAACUUCAGUUCCACCGAGACUUUCAAUCAUUUUGAGCAAGCAUUGAAGAUCUCCCCAUCCGUCUCCAACAAGGUAUUUGAAUCUUUGGAAUUGUUAAGGAAUAUUGAAAACAUUGGAGAAGAAAACGAUUUCUUUGGAUGUCUAUUUUCCCCUAUUUUAGGAAAAAGUAGCUGCUAUGGAAAAUUGUUUUCCACUUCCACAUUUUUUCCUCAAAAAACAUGGAUAUCAAUUUCUUUAGAGAGCAUGCUAAAUAUAGAUUUCCAAGGUCUUGACUCUUGAGAGAGCCAUCUGACGUGUAGACUUUUAAAAUUUCCGGGGAGAACUAUUCUCCAAACAAAAUAAUAGAAUUACUGUUGGGAUCUGCAAUUUUCUAUUCCCUUAGGAUUAUGUUAGUUUUCCAUGUCCACC
This is a long non-coding RNA of Magnolia sinica, 791 nucleotides long. RefSeq lists it as uncharacterized. The transcript has 3 exons. The record is from RefSeq and is a predicted model, not a curated record. Lineage: Eukaryota; Viridiplantae; Streptophyta; Magnoliopsida; Magnoliales; Magnoliaceae.